UCUCCGUAGGUGAACCUGCGGAGGGAUCAUUACAAGUGACCCCGGUCUUACCACCGGGAUGCUCAUAACCCUUUGUUGUCCGACUCUGUUGCCUCCGGGGCGACCCUGCCUUCGGGCGGGGGCUCCGGGUGGACACUUCAAACUCUUGCGUAACUUUGCAGUCUGAGUAAACUUAAUUAAUAAAUUAAAACUUUUAACAACGGAUCUCUUGGUUCUG
Molecule: unclassified non-coding RNA, 217 nt
Filed under: plant metagenome
Description: partial contains small subunit ribosomal RNA, internal transcribed spacer 1, and 5.8S ribosomal RNA
Source: RNAcentral